AGUGAACGCUGGCGGUAGGCCUAACACAUGCAAGUCGAACGGCAGCACAGUAAGAGCUUGCUCUUACGGGUGGCGAGUGGCGGACGGGUGAGGAAUACAUCGGAAUCUACUUUUUCGUGGGGGAUAACGUAGGGAAACUUACGCUAAUACCGCAUACGACCUACGGGUGAAAGCAGGGGAUCUUCGGACCUUGCGUGAUUGAAUGAGCCGAUGUCGGAUUAGUUAGUUGGCGGGGAAAAGGCCCACCAAGGCGACGAUCCGUAGCUGGCCUGAGAGGAUGAUCAGCCACACUGGAACUGAGACACGGUCCAGACUCCUACGGGAGGCAGCAGUGGGGAAUAUGGGACAAUGGGCGCAAGCCUGAUCCAGCCAUACCGCGUGGGUGAAGAAGGCCUUCGGGUUGUAAAGCCCUUUUGUUGGGAAAGAAAAGCAGCAGGUUAAUACCCCGCUGUUCUGACGGUACCCAAAGAAUAAGCACCGGCUAACUUCGU
Molecule: ribosomal RNA, 491 nt
Filed under: uncultured bacterium
Lineage: Bacteria
Description: partial 16S ribosomal RNA
Rfam family: Bacterial small subunit ribosomal RNA
Source: RNAcentral